UGGGGAAUUUUGGACAAUGGGGGAAACCCUGAUCCAGCCAUCCCGCGUGUGCGAUGAAGGCCUUCGGGUUGUAAAGCACUUUUGGCAGGAAAGAAACGUCGCGGGUUAAUACCCCGCGAAACUGACGGUACCUGCAGAAUAAGCACCGGCUAACUACGUGCCAGCAGCCGCGGUAAUACGUAGGGUGCAAGCGUUAAUCGGAAUUACUGGGCGUAAAGCGUGCGCAGGCGGUUCGGAAAGAAAGAUGUGAAAUCCCAGAGCUUAACUUUGGAACUGCAUUUUUAACUACCGGGCUAGAGUGUGUCAGAGGGAGGUGGAAUUCCGCGUGUAGCAGUGAAAUGCGUAGAUAUGCGGAGGAACACCGAUGGCGAAGGCAGCCUCCUGGGAUAACACUGACGCUCAUGCACGAAAGCGUGGGGAGCAAACAGGAUUAGAUACCCUGGUAGUCCACGCCCUAAACGAUGUCAACUAGCUGUUGGGGCCUUCGGGCCUUGGUAGCGCAGCUAACGCGUGAAGUUGACCGCCCGGGGAGUACGGUCGCAAGAUUAAAACUCAAAGGAAUUGACGGGGUCAUAGCUGUUUCC
This 584-nucleotide ribosomal RNA is filed under the name uncultured bacterium. RNAcentral describes it as "partial 16S ribosomal RNA". It matches the Rfam family "Bacterial small subunit ribosomal RNA", at positions 355 to 937 of the family's 1533-position model. The record is from RNAcentral.